AGCCCCGUAGUGUAGCGGUCAAUCAUGCGAGACUCUGGAUUGCUCUCGCAAGGAGAGAUCUUGCGACGGAGGUUCGAAUCCUCCCGGGGCUA
This 92-nucleotide transfer RNA is filed under the name soil metagenome. It matches the Rfam family "tRNA". Rfam says of the family: Transfer RNA (tRNA) molecules are approximately 80 nucleotides in length. The record is from RNAcentral.